RNAcentral lists this ribosomal RNA (450 nucleotides) under Hippopus hippopus. RNAcentral describes it as "partial 16S ribosomal RNA". It matches the Rfam family "Bacterial large subunit ribosomal RNA", at positions 1840 to 2587 of the family's 2925-position model. Lineage: Eukaryota; Metazoa; Mollusca; Bivalvia; Cardiida; Cardiidae. The record is from RNAcentral.
GAAGUAUACUGGAAGUAGGCCCUCGCCCGGUGCCCUGCGGGGUUAACGGCGGUGUUAAACCUUAAAGUAGCGUGAUAGAUUGGCCUUUAAUUGGGGUCUGGUAUGAAUGGGUUGACGUCGGAAAUGCUGUCUCAAAAAAAUAUAAUGAAAUUUACUUUUCAGUGAAAAGGCUGAAAUUUGAGUAAAAGACGAGAAGACCCUAUCGAGCUUGAGGGAUUCUAAUGUUGUAAAACCGUUAGAAGGAGUUUGGCUGGGGCAGCAACGGAGGUAACCUCCGUUUUUAAGUCGAAGAUCCAUUAGAUUGGUUAAUGAUAAGAGGAAAAAGUUACCGUAGGGAUAACAGCACCAGACCGCCUCAGAGGCCGUAUCGAAGGCGGAAGGUGUGACCUCGAUGUUGGAUCACGGUGAACCGCAUGGUGCAGGAGCUAUGCAGGUGGGAGUGUUCUUCCU